Molecule: long non-coding RNA, 852 nt
Organism: Eucalyptus grandis
Lineage: Eukaryota; Viridiplantae; Streptophyta; Magnoliopsida; Myrtales; Myrtaceae
Exons: 3
Source: RefSeq, a predicted model, not a curated record
CAGAUAGUUGAGUGUAGGCGAGUGCUCAAGUGGACAUGCAUAUGGUUAUUAUCUACCAAAAUAUGAUCAUGCUAAGAAACAAUUUUUUGAGUAUUUGCAAGGUGAGGCAGAGUUCAGAUUGGAAAGGCUUCAUCAGUGUGCAGAGAAGGAACUUCACCAGUUCCUUAGUGAUGAGAAUCCUUCUAGUAACUUUAAUGACUUCCGCACCAAGUUAGCUGGACUUACUAGUGUGACCAGAAACUACUUUGACAACCUCGUGAGAGCAUUGGAGAAUGGGCUAUCAGAUGUGGAUUCCCAUGGUGGUUGCAGCAGGGCAGCGAGCUCUAAGAAUGGAGGGAGCAGCAAGGCAAGUAGAGGUGGUGGAAGGGGAAAAGGAACUACCAACACUCGAGCUGGUUCCAGCUGAACCGAUGUAUGUUAAUGUUAAAUCUGCAACCACUUGCCAGAUGUGCCAGCAUUGCAAAUGAGGGCAGUGACGGAAAAUUUACAAAGAAGGAUGGUUUUCUCCAGAAACACGACUUUCAUGGACAAGGAACCAGUUCAAGCGCAUGGGCAGUGUCCUAUAAAAGGAUUAUUGGUAUGAAUCGUUCAAGUUCCCAGUGACAUAUCAAUUAUUAGGAGGCUUAAUUGUUGGUGUGGUGUGAUGACUGAUUCAAGCACGAGCAGCAGCAGCUUUCGGCCUGUGUUUACUCUUGUUGUGUGUUGAUGGCGGUGGCCUAUAAUGCCGGCCCAUGUAUAUAGGCUGUAGGGUUUCAUUGUCGGUACCAUACUAAUUUGGCAAAGAAAAAGAAAUAGUGACUGUCACCAAUCAUUUAAUAUUUCAUCUAUUUGUUGUUGGAAGAGGCAAAUGUA